RNAcentral lists this long non-coding RNA (298 nucleotides) under Bos taurus (domestic cattle). RNAcentral describes it as "long non-coding RNA NONBTAT025201". The record is from RNAcentral. Lineage: Eukaryota; Metazoa; Chordata; Mammalia; Artiodactyla; Bovidae.
UGCACGCGGCAGAGGGUAAGGACAGAGCCCAGAGUUCAGUGCCAUGGUAGAGGCUAUAAAGUUAGAUUACCAGAUGUGUACAGAAACAAAAAUGGUGUUCAUAAUUCAGUUUUGAUAAGUAAAAUCCUGUACCCGUAAUUCUUAGUACUCUGGCUUGUUUUUAGGACCAGUGCGAAGUUUCAGUUUACUGGUGCUGCACUCCAUUCUGUAACUAUAACCGAUUGGAGUACAGAAAACACAUAUGCAGAAAUAAAAAACUACUGAAUAAUAAAAAAUGUAACAAACAUACUACAAUAUU